RNAcentral lists this transfer RNA (77 nucleotides) under Klebsiella quasipneumoniae subsp. quasipneumoniae. Its description in RNAcentral is "tRNA-Pro". It matches the Rfam family "tRNA". Rfam says of the family: Transfer RNA (tRNA) molecules are approximately 80 nucleotides in length. Their secondary structure includes four short double-helical elements and three loops (D, anti-codon, and T loops). The record is from RNAcentral. Lineage: Bacteria; Pseudomonadati; Pseudomonadota; Gammaproteobacteria; Enterobacterales; Enterobacteriaceae.
CGGCACGUAGCGCAGCCUGGUAGCGCACCGUCAUGGGGUGUCGGGGGUCGGAGGUUCAAAUCCUCUCGGGCCUACCA